GCGCCAGACUCCUACGGGAGGCAGCAGUGGGGAAUAUUGCACAAUGGGGGAAACCCUGAUGCAGCGACGCCGCGUGAGCGAUGAAGUAUUUCGGUAUGUAAAGCUCUAUCAGCAGGGAAGAAAAUGACGGUACCUGACUAAGAAGCCCCGGCUAACUACGUGCCAGCAGCCGCGGUAAUACGUAGGGGGCAAGCGUUAUCCGGAUUUACUGGGUGUAAAGGGAGCGUAGACGGCAUGGCAAGUCAGAUGUGAAAGCCCGGGGCUCAACCCCGGGACUGCAUUUGAAACUGUCAGGCUGGAGUGCAGGAGAGGUAAGUGGAAUUCCUAGUGUAGCGGUGAAAUGCGUAGAUAUUAGGAGGAACACCAGUGGCGAAGGCGGCCUGCUGGACGAUGACUGACGCUGAGGCUCGAAAGCGUGGGGAGCAAACAGGAUUAGAUACCCCGGUACC
RNAcentral lists this ribosomal RNA (449 nucleotides) under uncultured bacterium. Its description in RNAcentral is "bacterial SSU rRNA". It matches the Rfam family "Bacterial small subunit ribosomal RNA", at positions 328 to 794 of the family's 1533-position model. The record is from RNAcentral.